AAAAUGUUAAGUUAAGUUAAACUGAAAACCUUCAAAGUUUUUUAUGAUUUAGGUAAAUCACAUUUUG
RNAcentral lists this transfer RNA (67 nucleotides) under Owenia fusiformis. Its description in RNAcentral is "tRNA-Trp". The record is from RNAcentral. Lineage: Eukaryota; Metazoa; Annelida; Polychaeta; Sabellida; Oweniidae.